CACGUAGUUAGCCGGUGCUUUUUCUGCAGGUACCGUCACUCUCGCUUCUUCCCUGCUAAAAGAGGUUUACAACCCGAAGGCCGUCAUCCCUCACGCGGCGUUGCUGCAUCAGGCUUGCGCCCAUUGUGCAAUAUUCCCCACUGCUGCCUCCCGUAGGAGUCUGGGCCGUGUCUCAGUCCCAGUGUGGCCGGUCACCCUCUCAGGCCGGCUACCCGUCGACGCCUUGGUGAGCCAUUACCUCACCAACAAGCUGAUAGGCCGCGAGCCCAUCCCCAACCGAAAAAUCUUUCCAAACGUUGACCAUGCGAUCACGUCUCGUAUCCAGUAUUAGACGCCGUUUCCAGCGCUUAUCCCAGAGUCAGGGGCAGGUUGCUCACGUGUUACUCACCCGUUCGCCACUGAUCCACCCCGCAAGCGGGGCUUCACCGUUCGACUUGCAUGUGUUAAGCACGCCGCCAGCGUUCAUCCUGAGCCAGGAUCAAACUCU
RNAcentral lists this ribosomal RNA (487 nucleotides) under uncultured Microbacterium sp. Its description in RNAcentral is "partial 16S ribosomal RNA". Lineage: Bacteria; Bacillati; Actinomycetota; Actinomycetes; Micrococcales; Microbacteriaceae. The record is from RNAcentral.